Molecule: ribosomal RNA, 1372 nt
Filed under: Microbacterium sp. MG-2011-102-GM
Lineage: Bacteria; Bacillati; Actinomycetota; Actinomycetes; Micrococcales; Microbacteriaceae
Description: bacterial SSU rRNA
Rfam family: Bacterial small subunit ribosomal RNA
Source: RNAcentral
UAGAGUUUGGUCAUGGCUCAGGAUGAGCGCUCACGGCGUGCUUAACACAUGCAAGUCCCACGGUGAAGCCAAGCUUGCUUGGUGGAUCAGUGGCGAACGGGUGAGUAACACGUGAGCAACCUGCCCUGGACUCUGGGAUAAGCGCUGGAAACGGCGUCUAAUACUGGAUAUGAGACGUGAUCGCAUGGUCGUGUUUGGAAAGAUUUUUCGGUCUGGGAUGGGCUCGCGGCCUAUCAGCUUGUUGGUGAGGUAAUGGCUCACCAAGGCGUCGACGGGUAGCCGGCCUGAGAGGGUGACCGGCCACACUGGGACUGAGACACGGCCCAGACUCCUACGGGAGGCAGCAGUGGGGAAUAUUGCACAAUGGGCGAAAGCCUGAUGCAGCAACGCCGCGUGAGGGAUGACGGCCUUCGGGUUGUAAACCUCUUUUAGCAGGGAAGAAGCGAAAGUGACGGUACCUGCAGAAAAAGCGCCGGCUAACUACGUGCCAGCAGCCGCGGUAAUACGUAGGGCGCAAGCGUUAUCCGGAAUUAUUGGGCGUAAAGAGCUCGUAGGCGGUUUGUCGCGUCUGCUGUGAAAUCCCGAGGCUCAACCUCGGGCCUGCAGUGGGUACGGGCAGACUAGAGUGCGGUAGGGGAGAUUGGAAUUCCUGGUGUAGCGGUGGAAUGCGCAGAUAUCAGGAGGAACACCGAUGGCGAAGGCAGAUCUCUGGGCCGUAACUGACGCUGAGGAGCGAAAGGGUGGGGAGCAAACAGGCUUAGAUACCCUGGUAGUCCACCCCGUAAACGUUGGGAACUAGUUGUGGGGACCAUUCCACGGUUUCCGUGACGCAGCUAACGCAUUAAGUUCCCCGCCUGGGGAGUACGGCCGCAAGGCUAAAACUCAAAGGAAUUGACGGGGACCCGCACAAGCGGCGGAGCAUGCGGAUUAAUUCGAUGCAACGCGAAGAACCUUACCAAGGCUUGACAUAUACGAGAACGGGCCAGAAAUGGUCAACUCUUUGGACACUCGUAAACAGGUGGUGCAUGGUUGUCGUCAGCUCGUGUCGUGAGAUGUUGGGUUAAGUCCCGCAACGAGCGCAACCCUCGUUCUAUGUUGCCAGCACGUAAUGGUGGGAACUCAUGGGAUACUGCCGGGGUCAACUCGGAGGAAGGUGGGGAUGACGUCAAAUCAUCAUGCCCCUUAUGUCUUGGGCUUCACGCAUGCUACAAUGGCCGGUACAAAGGGCUGCAAUACCGUGAGGUGGAGCGAAUCCCAAAAAGCCGGUCCCAGUUCGGAUUGAGGUCUGCAACUCGACCUCAUGAAGUCGGAGUCGCUAGUAAUCGCAGAUCAGCAACGCUGCGGUGAAUACGUUCCCGGGUCUUGUACACAC